AUUGAACGCUGGCGGCAGGCCUAACACAUGCAAGUCGAACGGUAACAGGAAGAAGCUUGCUUCUUUGCUGACGAGUGGCGGACGGGUGAGUAAUGUCUGUGAAACUGCCUGAUGGAGGGGGAUAACUACUGGAAACGGUAGCUAAUACCGCAUAAUGUCGCAAGACCAAAGAGGGGGACCUUCGGGCCUCUUGCCAUCGGAUGUGCCCAGAUGGGAUUAGCUAGUAGGUGGGGUAACGGCUCACCUAGGCGACGAUCCCUAGCUGGUCUGAGAGGAUGACCAGCCACACUGGAACUGAGACACGGUCCAGACUCCUACGGGAGGCAGCAGUGGGGAAUAUUGCACAAUGGGCGCAAGCCUGAUGCAGCUAUGCCGCGUGUAUGAAGAAGGCCUUCGGGUUGUAAAGUACUUUCAGCGGGGAGGAAGGGAGUAAAGUUAAUACCUUUGCUCAUUGACGUUACCCGCAGAAGAAGCACCGGCUAACUACGUG
Molecule: ribosomal RNA, 490 nt
Filed under: uncultured bacterium
Lineage: Bacteria
Description: partial 16S ribosomal RNA
Rfam family: Bacterial small subunit ribosomal RNA
Source: RNAcentral